AUGGGUUCGACGGGGGGAGUGAAGAGGCGGGAGGCAUCGUCGUCCUCGGCAGCAAAAGAGGAUGAUAAGCUGAUUGUGACUCCCUUGGGAGCCGGAAACGAAGUUGGUCGGUCUUGCGUUUACAUGUCCUACAAGGGCAAAACUGUCUUGUUCGAUUGCGGGAUCCAUCCCGCUUUCUCCGGCAUGGCUGCUCUCCACUCUUCUUCUUGUUUCUUCCUCAUUUCAUCAUCUUCAUCUAUGUGUUCAUACUUGCUUCUACGUUUUGCAGUUUUCACUUGGAUCAUGCUGCUUCCCUACCUUACUUUCUUGAGAAGACCACAUUCAAAGGCCUAGUCUUUAUGACAUAUGCAACCAAGGCUAUCUAUAAGUUGCUUUUGACAGAUUAUGUGAAAGUCAGCAAAGUUUCUGUUGAAGAUAUGUUGUUCGACGAGCAGGACAUUAAUGCUUCUAUGGAUAAAAUUGAGGUUAUUGAUUUCCACCAAACAGUAGAAGUUGAGGGCAUUCGGUUUUGGUGCUACACUGCAGGUCAUGUCCUUGGUGCUGCUAUGUUUAUGGUUGAUAUUGCCGGUGUUAGGGUCCUCUAUACUGGAGAUUAUUCACGCGAAGAAGAUCGACACCUCCGUGCUGCUGAGACUCCACAGUUCUCGCCUGAUAUAUGCAUUAUUGAAUCCACAUAUGGUGUCCAGCACCAUCAACCUCGAAACAUCCGUGAGAAGCGAUUCACUGAAGCUAUACACACUGCUCUCUCUCGAGGGGGCCGUGUCUUAAUUCCUGCAUUUGCACUUGGCCGUGCCCAAGAACUUCUCCUGAUCCUUGAUGAGUAUUGGGCAAAUCAUCCAGAGCUUCAAAAUAUUCCUAUAUACUAUUCUUCCCCUCUGGCAAAAAGAUGUUUAUCUGUUUAUGAGACAUACACCCUCUCAAUGAAAGAUAGGAUCCGCAAUGCGAAGUCAAAUCCCUUCCUCUUUAAGUACAUAUCACCACUAAAGAGCAUUGAGAAUUUCAAAGAUGUAGGCCCCUCGGUCGUGAUGGCAAGCCCUGGUGGUCUUCAAAGCGGGUUGUCAAGGCAGCUUUUUGAUAUGUGGUGCUCUGAUAAGAGAAAUGCAUGUGUGAUUCCAGGUUUUGUGGUUGAGGGGACACUUGCAAAGACAAUCAUCAAUGAACCGAAAGAGGUCACCCUUAUGAAUGGGCUAGCUGCUCCGCUCAACAUGUCGGUACAUUACAUUUCAUUCUCUGCUCAUGCAGACUCUGUUCAGACAAGUGCAUUUUUGGAGGAGCUGAGGCCUCCUAACAUAAUCCUUGUUCAUGGAGAAGCUCAUGAGAUGGGAAGGCUGAAAGAGAAGCUCAUGACUCAGUUUCGUGAUCGCAACACCAAAAUCCUCACACCAAAGAAUUGUCAGUCUGUUGAGAUGUAUUUCAACUUGCAGAAAAUGGCUAAAGCUAUUGGAAGGGUUGCUGAGAAGACCCCGGAAGUUGGAGAAAAAGUAAGCGGUUUACUGGUAAAAAAAGGUUUCAGUUAUCAGAUUAUGGCUUCCGAAGAUCUUCAUGUUUUCUCGCAGCUGUCAACGGCAAAUGUCACGCAGGGUAUUACUAUCCCGUAUACUACGUACUGGCUUUAUGGUGAUAAAACAUCGGUUGAGGCAAAUAUAUGAAAGCGUAGAAUCUUCUGCGGAUGAAGAAUCUGGAGUGCCAACGUUAAAGGUGCAUGAUCUAGUGACUGUGAGGCAAGAUACAGAUAAACAUGUCUCACUGCAUUGGAUGUCAGAUCCUAUGAGUGACAUGGUUUCGGACUCCAUCAUGGCUUUAAUUUUGAAUAUCAACAGAGAAGUCCCCAAGGUAGUCAUUGAAUCCAAGGACAUAAAAACAGAGGAAGAGAAUGGGAAGAAAACAGAAAAGGUCAUUCAUGCACUUCUUGUAUCACUCUUUGGGGAUGUGAAGCCUGGAGAAAAUGGGAAGUUGGUGAUCAGUGUUGAUGGAAAUGUGGCACUGCUUGAUAAACAGAGUGGGGACGUUGAGAGUGAAAAUGAAGGCCUCAAGGAAAGAGUAAAGACAGCAUUUCGUCGUAUCCAAAGUGCAGUGAAGCCAAUUUUUCUUUCUGCGUCGUAG
Molecule: RNA transcript, 2103 nt
Organism: Fragaria vesca subsp. vesca
Lineage: Eukaryota; Viridiplantae; Streptophyta; Magnoliopsida; Rosales; Rosaceae
Gene name: cleavage and polyadenylation specificity factor subunit 3-I-like
Exons: 3
Source: RefSeq, a predicted model, not a curated record